RNAcentral lists this ribosomal RNA (483 nucleotides) under uncultured bacterium. RNAcentral's name for it is "bacterial SSU rRNA". It matches the Rfam family "Bacterial small subunit ribosomal RNA", at positions 30 to 507 of the family's 1533-position model. The record is from RNAcentral.
AUUGAACGCUGGCGGCAUGCCUUACACAUGCAAGUCGAACGGCAGCGGACCUUCGGGUGCCGGCGAGUGGCGAACGGGUGAGUAAUAUAUCGGAACGUACCUUUCAGUGGGGGAUAACGUAGCGAAAGUUACGCUAAUACCGCAUAUUCUGUGAGCAGGAAAGCAGGGGGAUCGCAAGACCUUGCGCUGAUUGAGCGGCCGAUAUCAGAUUAGCUAGUUGGUGAGGUAAAGGCUCACCAAGGCGACGACCUGUAGCGGGUCUGAGAGGAUGAUCCGCCACACUGGAACUGAGACACGGUCCAGACUCCUACGGGAGGCAGCAGUGGGGAAUUUUGGACAAUGGGCGCAAGCCUGAUCCAGCCAUGCCGCGUGAGUGAAGAAGGCCUUCGGGUUGUAAAGCUCUUUCGGCCGGGAAGAAAUCGCACGGGUUAAUACCCUGUGUGGAUGACGGUACCGGAAUAAGAAGCACCGGCUAACUACGUG